Long non-coding RNA from Ictalurus punctatus (channel catfish), 4458 nucleotides. RefSeq lists it as uncharacterized. The record is from RefSeq and is a predicted model, not a curated record. The transcript has 3 exons. Lineage: Eukaryota; Metazoa; Chordata; Actinopteri; Siluriformes; Ictaluridae.
UGAGACACAAUACUGUAAGUCAUUAAUUAAAGUCCAUACAGUAUAAUCUACAUAUUAUACACAAUAUACAACACACACAAGCUGAUUUGUGUAAACAACACACUUCUGCAUCAUCAGCCAAUCAAAGACCAUACCCACUGGAGGGGGGGCGUGCAUCAAUCAAUCAAUCAAUCAACUCUAAUCACAACUGGGACAUCAGAGAAGCCAACACACACACACACACACACACACACACACACACACAAUAGAAUAAAAUAAACUGAAUAAACUACAUUGCAUCAGGAAGAAGAAGAAAGACUGAUAUUAAAUAUAACUGAAGAAUAAAGACUGUAAAAUAACUGUCAGUAUCUUCACUAAACUAUACAGGAAACAGGAAUACAGAAAUGAAACAAAAACCCGUCCAUUAAUAAACUCUAAACAUCCACACUACACAAACAGCACUUUAUUACUGUGUUUAUUCAUUAUUUAUUUAUUCACAAACAUCUCGCGCACUUUAACUCGAGAGAGAGAGAGAGAGAGAGAGAGAGAGAGAGGUCAGAGCGGAACGUCACUUCCGAUCAUAAUAAAUAAAUAAGAUAAUGUUUAAGAGAGCGGAUAUCAGGUGACAGUGCGUUAUAGAGCCUCAGUUCAGUCCUGUAGUUUAGCUCCACAGUGACGUCACGGGUUAUAGUCUGCAGUGAGCGGUUAUAACGCCUUCAUUACGACCUAAACACCGACUUAAUGACCUUUAUUUUACCUUUAAUGUGAGUUUCCGUCCCGGAGCGGAGUUCAGCGCGUGGCACUACCGCAAAACCCUCUCAUCUCUCUGGACUGAGAAACCUUCACCGCCGUGACGUCACAGCGCCACUUCCGGCUUCCGCAGGCAUCAUGGGACAUGUAGUAUAACGCUACAGGAGUUAGAGUUUAGAAUCUAGAUUCUUAGAUCUUAGAUUCUGUAUUUUAUACGCCAUACUAUAUGUUUUUAUUAUGUAAUUGAAUUAAAUUAUAUAUAUGUUAUAUUAUAUUAUCAAGUGCUGAGGAUUGAGACUUGUUUCUGUGCUGCAGGCUCGAGCACCGAAUGUUCUGGAGUGUGGCAGCCAUGUUGGAACAACACCACUAAUCUCAGAUUGGUGUGAACAGACAUCUUCUAAGACUCGGUAUUUUAGGCAGCACUGGAAAGUGUGUACUUUAAAAAAUAAUAAUACAUCGAAGUGUGGCGAGAAAAACCGUCCAAAGUUCACGUUUCUCAAAACAAGAAAUCCAAACCCAGAGUCGAGUUUUUGGAGAUUCUCCACAAGUCACUGUAUAAACCGAUCAGGACACUUUCACUAGAGUUAUAGAGAGGUCUGGAGUGAUUUAAUCAAGAUCAAGCGUGAAAUUUGAUUAAAUAAAUAUUUGAUUGAUAAAUAACGUGUACCUGUCACAGUGCUUUUACACGACACUGAGGUAUUAUAUUUAGCACUCUGACUGUUAUAAUGUCAGUGUUUAAUAUUAUUUAUUAACCCCCUCCCCCCAAUACAUCAUACGAGUAGGUGGCGGUGAUGCACCAAUCUGUGGCCGUGGUCAUUACACUAAAGAAGAAGAAGCUGCAGUUCCACAGAACAGCCUGUAGAUGGGGGCAUUGUACCUUUCAUGGCACUUUGGACUCUACAUCGGGAGCCGAAGUACUUCAUGCUUGAUUCUUCACAACGGGAAUACCAAGUUCUGGACUAUACAUUUCCAAAUGCACAGAAGUAUUGUUCAUCGUGAGCAAGCUUGGAUACGAUGGACAAGACAAGUGGUGUAGGGCCUACGUGGCACAAGGAUUCUCUGUGGCAGUUACCACCAACAAUGGAGUUGUGGCUCUCAAUAAAUCAUUAAGAGCUUCUAUCAAAUUUUCUGGAACAGAAAGUCUUUCAUCUCUGCUUGAAACUGUUAUAUGCAAGUUCAUCUCAGAACAGUUGCUAUCCUACAGUAGACUCAACUUCAUCUACUGUCGUUCAUCUACAAGACCUGCAAUCCAGAUGUUCCAAUGUUCCUGAGAGACAGACCCAGGAGUUUUGUCAAACAUUGCUUAAACACUAUCCAAGCAGGUUCCAUCUAUAUAAAAGAGCAUGUCGGGGUACUUGGAAAGGAAUCUUUCUUGGUAAAGUGUGAGACAACCUCUGCAGGUACAGAGUAGAACUCGGUACAUUACAACGUUCUUACCAUGCAAGCAUUUCUGUGCUGUUUUUAGUCACUCUGACAAAACUUGGGGAGACCUUAGCUCAGUUAACUGUCGAAACCCGGUGUACUGUCGAAACCCGGUGUACUGUCGAAGCUCAGUGUGUUGUCAAAGCUCCAUGUACUGUCAAUCCCGGUGCACUGUCGAACCUCCAUGUACUGUCAAUCCCGGUGCACUGUUGAAGCUCAGUGUGCUGUCAAAGCUCAGUGUGCUGUCGAAGCCUGGUGAACUGUCGAAGCCCAGUGUGCUGUCGAAGCCUGGUGAACUGUCGAAGCCCAGUGUGCUGUCAAAGCUCAGUGUGCUGUCGAAGCCUGGUGAACUGUCGAAGCCCAGUGUGCUGUCGAAGCUCGGUGUGCUGUCGAAGCCCGGUGUAAUGAGCCCAGUGUACUGUCGAAGCCUGGUGUAAUGAGCCCAGUGUACUUUCGAAGCAUUAAGUCCACUAAUAGUACACUAUUACUCUAGUACACUAGCCCAGUGUACUUUCGAACUUAUUUUAAAUUUCCUUUCCUGUUUUGUUUUGUUGACCUGUCAACUUUGUGUAUAGUUCACAUGCCUUGUGUUGGCAUUUGGCAACCAAAUUUACAUUUUUUAGUUCAUUUUUGAACUUUAAUAGUUCAUUGUUGAAAAGGGCUCUAUGUGCUAUACAAAUGUGUUUUCUCUAUUCGUCCUUUCAUUCAUUCUGUUUCAUAUUCUGUUCAUUUCCAUAAAAAGUCUAAAAAGACCGAGAGGGCAGAAGACACAGCGAUGGACAAAGACUUGCUUCAGACAAUACACAGUUACUUUACUAUAAAUGAAUCUGUUAUUAAUGCAUGAAAUCGAAGUUGUGUGUUAUUUUCACUUCAGGCAUGUGGUGUGGAUACCAGGAGAACAUCCACACUGUUACACACUGACAAACCUUCUCCUGUGAACCAUAGUGAAAACUUACCUAGGUUAACAAAGGUGAAAUAAUGUGUUCCAUUAAUAACGCCUGUCAUUACAUUACAUUACAUUUAUUCACUUGGCAGACGCUUUUAUCUAAAGCGACUUACAAAUAAGCAAAGCAAUACAUCAAGCAGAGAACAGUACAAGUAGUGCUACCAUACAAGAUCCAUUAAUUGAGUUCCAGAGGAACUAAAGUGCACAGAGUAGAGUGCAUCUUUUGUUUUGUUUUUUGUUUUUUUUUAUGAGUUGGUUAGGUGUUCAUAGAAGAGGUGGGUCUUUUGCUGUUUUUUGAAGAUGGUGAGAGAUUCUGCGGUCUGGAUUGAGGUUGGAAGUUCAUUCCACCACUGAGGGACGGUUAGCGUGAAGGUUCUUGAAAGGGACCUUGAGCCACGCUGAGUAGGAACUACUAAACGUCGGUCGCUAAUCGAUCGCAGAUUGCGAGAGGGAAUGUAGGCCUUCAGGAGAGAGUUGAGGUAGGGGGGUGCUGUUCCUGACAAGGUCUUGUAGGUGAGCAUCAAGGCCUUGAACUUGAUGCGGGCAGCUACAGGAAGCCAGUGGAGGGAGAUGAAGAGGGGUGUGACAUGGGUUCUCUUGGGCUGGUUGAAGACGUGGCGCGCUGCAGCAUUCUGAAUCAUCUGAAGGGGUUUGAUGGAGCUGCUGGGAGGCCUGAAAGCAGUGAGUUGCUUUCAGUCAGCGGACAUGUAGACGUUCAGCAGAGAUGUUCAGCAGAACUGUUCAGUAGAAAUGUUCAGGAGAAAUGUUUAGCAGAAAUGUGUAGCAGAAAUGUUCAGGAGAACUGUUCACUAGAAAUGUUCACCAGAAAUGUUCAGCAGAAAUGUUCAGUAGAAAUGUUCAAUAAAAAUGAAACUGUAAAAAAGAGAUAACAAGAGCCUGGACUAGAAUCUGUGUGGCCUGUUUGGUGAUGUAGGGUCAGAUUUUUUUGAUGUUGUAAAGGAUGAACCUACAGGACCUUGCAGUUGUUGAGAUGUGGUCUGUAAAGGUCAAGUCGUCAUCAAGAAUCACCCCGAGGUUCCUGGCCAUCCUGGUUGGCAUGAGUGUGAGUGAGCCGAGCUGUACAGUGAGGUUGUGGUUGAUUGAGGGACAGGUUGGGAUGACGAGAACUCAGAUUUUGCCAGGUUAAGCUUAAGAUGGUGUUCCUUCAUCCAGACCGAGAUGUCCGACAGGCAAGCAGACUGCGCAAAUUCUUUGAGCUUUUUUUUUAUAUGUAUGUUGUAUAUACGUUUAGGACAUGGCACCAGAGAGGAGACAUUCUGGAAGAAGAUAACCCAACCAUGGUGAUAAGCACAGCUUUUAAAUUCUCCCUGGCACGGCUGGAGGACCGUUCCUGGCUCAAU